Molecule: ribosomal RNA, 491 nt
Filed under: uncultured bacterium
Lineage: Bacteria
Description: partial 16S ribosomal RNA
Rfam family: Bacterial small subunit ribosomal RNA
Source: RNAcentral
AGUGAACGCUGGCGGUAGGCCUAACACAUGCAAGUCGAACGGCAGCACAGUAAGAGCUUGCUCUUACGGGUGGCGAGUGGCGGACGGGUGAGGAAUACAUCGGAAUCUACUUUUUCGUGGGGGAUAACGUAGGGAAACUUACGCUAAUACCGCAUACGACCUACGGGUGAAAGCAGGGGGUCUUCGGACCUUGCGCGAUUGAAUGAGCCGAUGUCGGAUUAGCAGUUGGCGGGGUAAAGGCCCACCAAGGCGACGAUCCGUAGCUGGUCUGAGAGGAUGAUCAGCCACACUGGAACUGAGACACGGUCCAGACUCCUACGGGAGGCAGCAGUGGGGAAUAUUGGACAAUGGGCGCAAGCCUGAUCCAGCCAUACCGCGUGGGUGAAGAAGGCCUUCGGGUUGUAAAGCCCUUUUGUUGGGAAAGAAAAGCAGCAGGUUAAUACCCCGCUGUUCUGACGGUACCCAAAGAAUAAGCACCGGCUAACUUCGUG